UAACUACAUAAACUGGUGCAG
This 21-nucleotide non-coding RNA is filed under the name Arabidopsis thaliana (thale cress). Lineage: Eukaryota; Viridiplantae; Streptophyta; Magnoliopsida; Brassicales; Brassicaceae. The record is from RNAcentral.